RNAcentral lists this ribosomal RNA (504 nucleotides) under Bacillus sp. E5.Cd 2. Its description in RNAcentral is "bacterial SSU rRNA". It matches the Rfam family "Bacterial small subunit ribosomal RNA", at positions 188 to 677 of the family's 1533-position model. Lineage: Bacteria; Bacillati; Bacillota; Bacilli; Caryophanales; Bacillaceae. The record is from RNAcentral.
GCAUGGUUCGAAAUUGAAAGGCGGCUUCGGCUGUCACUUAUGGAUGGACCCGCGUCGCAUUAGCUAGUUGGUGAGGUAACGGCUCACCAAGGCAACGAUGCGUAGCCGACCUGAGAGGGUGAUCGGCCACACUGGGACUGAGACACGGCCCAGACUCCUACGGGAGGCAGCAGUAGGGAAUCUUCCGCAAUGGACGAAAGUCUGACGGAGCAACGCCGCGUGAGUGAUGAAGGCUUUCGGGUCGUAAAACUCUGUUGUUAGGGAAGAACAAGUGCUAGUUGAAUAAGCUGGCACCUUGACGGUACCUAACCAGAAAGCCACGGCUAACUACGUGCCAGCAGCCGCGGUAAUACGUAGGUGGCAAGCGUUAUCCGGAAUUAUUGGGCGUAAAGCGCGCGCAGGUGGUUUCUUAAGUCUGAUGUGAAAGCCCACGGCUCAACCGUGGAGGGUCAUUGGAAACUGGGAGACUUGAGUGCAGAAGAGGAAAGUGGAAUUCCAUGUGUA